Mus musculus (house mouse) is the source of this 1940-nucleotide long non-coding RNA. RefSeq annotates it as predicted gene 45889. The transcript is spliced from 2 exons. The record is from RefSeq and is a predicted model, not a curated record. Lineage: Eukaryota; Metazoa; Chordata; Mammalia; Rodentia; Muridae.
CCUUGAUAGGAACCCUUCUUUGUCUCUGCGUCUCCUUCCUUUCCUCGCAUUUCUCUUCAGGUUUGUGGUCCCCCUUGCACCCAGGAAGAACUGGGUCCUGCUGGGUGGGACAAGUGGCGCCUAACUGAGGUUCGGAGCGUUUUGCCUUAGGUGGAGAUUACGGAGUUUGACUCCCCCAGAGAAGUUCGUAGGGACCCCAAGAAAAAAGAAGUGAAGGACUGCUUCAGCAGCUCACCGGAGAGAGAAAUCCUUGAAAACUGAAAGCGCCUCGAAAGAAGCCACUCCUGAUCAUCGAGAUUUGGCUGUGUCUUUGCCUGAUGAGAAGCAAAUCGCCAGUGGUAGGCCAAGCUAAGAAAAGUCCUUAUCGACUCUAUAAUUAACCUGGCUAAUCAUUAACGAGGCCGGUGACAUAGUUAAUGCCACCUAAUUGAAGGUUCUAUCCCAUGGCCCAUCCUGAGGGUCGAUCUUUGUAAAUUAGUCCCAGGAGGUCACAGUGACUGGGGAACCCACUCAGUAUUCAUGACCCAAGAACAAGCUGUUGACAAUCCAAGACAAGUUACCUCUACGGCCCCUGGAUGUGCUAGCUUAAGUCGUAGGAGAGCACUCGCCAGUGUUUUAAGAAGCUAGGGCCUGUAUAUUUGUCCUGGCCCCAGUCACAGGAGCCCCACUCUUAAUUACAAAUGUGGUUUCGCCCCUGAUUAUUUCUGUGCUUCCUGGGGCUGUGAGACCACAGGAGACACCUACUGGAAACCCACCUCUAACUGGGACCUAAUAAAGGUCCAGAGCAGGCCCGAUCAUGCUGCCUGUGAUAGUUCCAACCAAACUUCCUGAGGAUGGUGCAACACCUUAGAGAUCUCCUUUACUGACUCAGGGAAAAAAAAUUUAAUUGGGAAAAUACACGAGGGGCUGAGUGGGGUUUACGCAUCUAUAGAGAAGAAAGAGAUUUCGGAGUGACUUUCAAAAUCCAGUUACUUAAGAACACCCCAUCCUUAGGGUGGGCCGCUAUAGGACCCAACCUUAGUCUGCAUCCCUCAUCACCAAAAAGACCAAGUCCCCCACAGGCUGUUACCCUGGGUCCACUUGGGACUACUACAUUCCAGCCUACUUUACCUGCUGGAUCUCUCUCCUCCUCAGAAUUGAUUUUAUCCUUGGUAAAUGCAUCAAUUGCUACCAUGCAUGCAGCUAAUGCUACUCAAUAUGAAGAAUGUUGGGUGUGCUUUUCUCCUCAACCUCCCUUUUACGAAGGGGUGGCAACAUUUGGAUCAAUUAUUGCAAUCAAUGAUUCCAGCAGACUUGGAUGGCACCCUGAGAACCAUGACGGGCUCACUCUGAGUCAGGUGUCCAGCCUAGGCUUAUGCCUUUUGGGGCCUUCCAUGCUUCCCCCUCAGGCCUUAUUAGAGGUUUGCAAUCAGACUUUUAUGGUAAAUGCCACCUCUCGAUACCUUGGGGCACCUAAUGGUACUUAUUUAGCAUGCUCUACUGGACUUACAACCUAUGUGGUUACCCAGACCUUUUUAGAUGACAGAGAUUAUUGUGUCUGGUUCAGCUUCUCCCAAAACUGACAGUGCACCAUGCAGAGGACCUCCUCCAAUUCUGGGAGAGAGGCACAGACCUACCCCGUGAUAAGAGAGAGCCUAUUUCUGCAGUGACCUUGGCAGUAAUCCUGGGCUUAGGAGCCGCAGGUGCAGGAAGUGGCAUUGCCUCUUUGGUCACCUCCCAAUAGCAAUACACUCAGCUUCACCUUGCUGUGGACAGAGAUAUACAAGAGCUACAAAGGGGCUUCAAAAAUGUAAAAGACUCCCUGGUCUCUCUGUCUGAGGUAGUAUUACAGAACAGGCAAGGCCUUGAUUUAGUGUUCCUAAAAGAGGGAGGGCUAUGUGCAGCCCUCAAAGAAGAAUGUUGUUUUUAUUGAUAGCAUAGACAAAGUUAGAACUAGUUUA